UACGUAGGUGGCAAGCGUUGUCCGGAUUUACUGGGCGUAAAGAGCGCGCAGGCGGUCGGAUAAGUCGAAUGUGAAAGCCCCCGGCUCAACUGGGGAGGGUCAUUCGAUACUGUUCGACUCGAAGGCAGGAGAGGGAAGUGGAAUUCCCGGUGUAGUGGUGAAAUGCGUAGAUAUCCGGAGGAACACCGAUGGCGAAGGCAGCUGCCUGGCCUGACACUGACGCUGAGGUGCGAAAGCGUGGGGAGCAAACGGG
RNAcentral lists this ribosomal RNA (253 nucleotides) under uncultured bacterium. RNAcentral's name for it is "partial 16S ribosomal RNA". It matches the Rfam family "Bacterial small subunit ribosomal RNA", at positions 524 to 776 of the family's 1533-position model. The record is from RNAcentral.